GACGAACGCUGGCGGCGUGCUUAACACAUGCAAGUCGAACGGAAAGGCCCUGCUUUUGUGGGGUGCUCGAGUGGCGAACGGGUGAGUAACACGUGAGUAACCUGCCCUUGACUUUGGGAUAACUUCAGGAAACUGGGGCUAAUACCGGAUAGGAGCUCCUGCUGCAUGGUGGGGGUUGGAAAGUUUCGGCGGUUGGGGAUGGACUCGCGGCUUAUCAGCUUGUUGGUGGGGUAGUGGCUUACCAAGGCUUUGACGGGUAGCCGGCCUGAGAGGGUGACCGGCCACAUUGGGACUGAGAUACGGCCCAGACUCCUACGGGAGGCAGCAGUGGGGAAUAUUGCACAAUGGGCGGAAGCCUGAUGCAGCAACGCCGCGUGCGGGAUGACGGCCUUCGGGUUGUAAACCGCUUUCGCCUGUGACGAAGCGUGAGUGACGGUAAUGGGUAAAGAAGCACCGGCUAACUACGUGCCAGCAGCCGCGGUGAUACGUAGGGUGCGAGCGUUGUCCGGAUUUAUUGGGCGUAAAGGGCUCGUAGGUGGUUGAUCGCGUCGGAAGUGUAAUCUUGGGGCUUAACCCUGAGCGUGCUUUCGAUACGGGUUGACUUGAGGAAGGUAGGGGAGAAUGGAAUUCCUGGUGGAGCGGUGGAAUGCGCAGAUAUCAGGAGGAACACCAGUGGCGAAGGCGGUUCUCUGGGCCUUUCCUGACGCUGAGGAGCGAAAGCGUGGGGAGCGAACAGGCUUAGAUACCCUGGUAGUCCACGCUGUAAACGGUGGGUACUAGGUGUGGGGUCCAUUCCACGGGUUCCGUGCCGUAGCUAACGCUUUAAGUACCCCGCCUGGGGAGUACGGCCGCAAGGCUAAAACUCAAAGGAAUUGACGGGGCCCCGCACAAGCGGCGGAGCAUGCGGAUUAAUUCGAUGCAACGCGUAGAACCUUACCUGGGUUUGACAUGGAUCGGGAGUGCUCAGAGAUGGGUGUGCCUCUUUUGGGGUCGGUUCACAGGUGGUGCAUGCCUGUCGUCAGCUCGUGUCGUGAGAUGUUGGGUUAAGUCCCGCAACGAGCGCAACCCUUGUUCACUGUUGCCAGCACGUUAUGGUGGGGACUCAGUGGAGACCGCCGGGGUCAACUCGGAGGAAGGUGGGGAUGACGUCAAGUCCUCAUGCCCCUUAUGUCCAGGGCUUCACGCAUGCUACAAUGGCUGGUACAGAGAGUGGCGAGCCUGUGAGGGUGAGCGAAUCUCGGAAAACCGGUCUCAGUUCGGAUUGGGGUCUGCAACUCGACCUCAUGAAGUCGGAGUCGCUAGUAAUCGCAGAUCAGCAACGCUGCGGUGAAUACGUUCCCGGG
This 1343-nucleotide ribosomal RNA is filed under the name uncultured bacterium. RNAcentral describes it as "16S ribosomal RNA". It matches the Rfam family "Bacterial small subunit ribosomal RNA", at positions 28 to 1378 of the family's 1533-position model. The record is from RNAcentral.